ACGAACGCUGGCGGCGUGCCUAAUACAUGCAAGUAGAACGCUGAAGAGAGGAGCUUGCUCUUCUUGGAUGAGUUGCGAACGGGUGAGUAACGCGUAGGUAACCUGCCUUGUAGCGGGGGAUAACUAUUGGAAACGAUAGCUAAUACCGCAUAACAAUGGAUGACACAUGUCAUUUAUUUGAAAGGGGCAAUUGCUCCACUACAAGAUGGACCUGCGUUGUAUUAGCUAGUAGGUGAGGUAAUGGCUCACCUAGGCGACGAUACAUAGCCGACCUGAGAGGGUGAUCGGCCACACUGGGACUGAGACACGGCCCAGACUCCUACGGGAGGCAGCAGUAGGGAAUCUUCGGCAAUGGGGGCAACCCUGACCGAGCAACGCCGCGUGAGUGAAGAAGGUUUUCGGAUCGUAAAGCUCUGUUGUAAGUCAAGAACGGGUGUGAGAGUGGAAAGUUCACACUGUGACGGUAGCUUACCAGAAAGAGACGGCUAACUACGUG
RNAcentral lists this ribosomal RNA (496 nucleotides) under uncultured bacterium. Its description in RNAcentral is "partial 16S ribosomal RNA". It matches the Rfam family "Bacterial small subunit ribosomal RNA", at positions 29 to 507 of the family's 1533-position model. The record is from RNAcentral.